GAUGAACGCUAGCGGCAGGCCUAACACAUGCAAGUCGAGGGAGAAGCCCUUGCGGGGGCAGGAACCGGCGCACGGGUGCGUAACGCGUAUGCAACCUACCUUUCACAGGGGGAUAGGCCGAAGAAAUUUGGAUUAAUACCCCAUAAUAUUAUUGGAUGGCAUCAUUUGAUAAUUAAAACUGCGGUGGUGAAAGAUGGGCAUGCGUCCUAUUAGCUAGUUGGAGUGGUAACGGCACCCCAAGGCGACGAUAGGUAGGGGUCCUGAGAGGGAGAUCCCCCACAGGGGGACUGGGAACGGGACCAGACUCCUACGGGAGGCAGCAGUGAGGAAGACUGGACAAUGGUAGGAAGACUGAACCAGCCAUGCCGCGUGCAGGAAGAAUGCCUUAUGGGUUGUAAACUGCUUUUAUAUGGGAAGAAUAAGGCGUACGUGUACGUUGAUGACGGUACCAGAUGAAUAAGCACCGGCUAACUCCGUG
This 478-nucleotide ribosomal RNA is filed under the name uncultured bacterium. RNAcentral describes it as "partial 16S ribosomal RNA". It matches the Rfam family "Bacterial small subunit ribosomal RNA", at positions 28 to 507 of the family's 1533-position model. The record is from RNAcentral.